Molecule: ribosomal RNA, 520 nt
Filed under: uncultured soil bacterium
Lineage: Bacteria
Description: bacterial SSU rRNA
Rfam family: Bacterial small subunit ribosomal RNA
Source: RNAcentral
AGAGUGAACGCUGGCGGCGUGCCUAACACAUGCAAGUCGCGCGCGAAAGGGUAGCAAUCCCUGAGUAAAGCGGCGAACGGGUGAGUAACACGUGGUUAACCUGCCCAGAUGUGGGGGAUACCCCGGGGAAACUCGGGACAAUACCGCAUAUGGUUCUUCGGGCGUGGGCCUGAGGGAGCAAAGCCGGGGACCGUAAGGCCUGGCGCAUCUGGAGGGGACCGCGGCCGAUUAGCUAGUUGGCGGGGUAAUGGCCCACCAAGGCGACGAUCGGUAGCCGGCCUGAGAGGGUGAACGGCCACACCGGAACUGAGACACGGUCCGGACUCCUACGGGAGGCAGCAGUGGGGAAUUUGCGCAAUGGGCGAAAGCCUGACGCAGCAACGCCGCGUGGAGGAUGAAGGAUCUCUGAUCCGUAAACUCCGUGUCCGGCCGGAAGAAAGUGGCCGGGUGACGUAAUCGACGCCCCGGUCUUCGACGUCGUACCGGCAAACGGAACGCCCCGGACUAACCGUCCGUCGCC